GACNUCGAAUCAGGUAGGAAUACCCGCUGAACUUAAG
RNAcentral lists this ribosomal RNA (37 nucleotides) under Claviceps purpurea (ergot fungus). RNAcentral's name for it is "partial 28S ribosomal RNA". The record is from RNAcentral. Lineage: Eukaryota; Fungi; Ascomycota; Sordariomycetes; Hypocreales; Clavicipitaceae.